Molecule: ribosomal RNA, 433 nt
Filed under: Groenbladia neglecta
Lineage: Eukaryota; Viridiplantae; Streptophyta; Zygnematophyceae; Desmidiales; Desmidiaceae
Description: partial 18S ribosomal RNA
Rfam family: Group I catalytic intron (bases 84-368)
About the family: Group I catalytic introns are large self-splicing ribozymes. They catalyse their own excision from mRNA, tRNA and rRNA precursors in a wide range of organisms. The core secondary structure consists of 9 paired regions (P1-P9).
Source: RNAcentral
GGAAGGAGAAGUCGUAACAAGGUUUUCAAUGUAUCCUUCUUGCUCAUAUUGAGUUCGAAGAAACACGGAAGCCUUAGUUUGGGAAAUCACGUUUUUUUCCAAGCUAGUGUCGUUGCUACCAUUUGCAAAAAAUGAUGCUUCAAUGCGACGCCAACAAAUUGCGGGAAUAAGAUGAUGGGUUGCUACCAAGCACGGCAAAAGCAUCAAAACUUUUGAGUGUGGCCAGGUGAGUUUCCUGGGUAAGGUCAUAAGGCACCCAUAUAUCUUUACCUGCAUCCAAGCCGUUCAAAUACGGUGCUGUUCACAGACUAAAUGUUGGCGGGCCAUUCAUUGGCUCAAGAUAUAGUCGGGCACACCAAGAGAGGUGUGACUUGAAUGUUUGAUGCCCCGCAUGAGUAUUCACCGUUCCGUAGGUGAACCUGCGGAAGGAUCA